This 1095-nucleotide ribosomal RNA is filed under the name Hypophyes minutissimus. RNAcentral's name for it is "partial 16S ribosomal RNA". Lineage: Eukaryota; Metazoa; Arthropoda; Insecta; Coleoptera; Brentidae. The record is from RNAcentral.
UUCAGAGGAAUUUGUCCUGUAAUUGAUGAUCCACGAUUUUAAUUACUUAAUUUAUUAAUUUACAUAUCGCCGUAAUUUGAAUAUUUUAUAAGAAUAUUAAUAUUCAAGACUUUAGAUAAGAAAUUAAAUCAGGUCAAGGUGUAGUUUAUAAUUAAGAAGAGAUGAAUUACAAUAAAAUUAUUUAUAUGGAUUAUUAUAUGAAAUUAUAAUAUGAAAGUGGAUUUAAAAGUAAUUUUAAAUAUUUAUUUAUAAUGAUUUUAGCUCUAAAGUAUGCACAUAUCGCCCGUCACUUUCACUAUAAAGUGGAAUAAGUCGUAACAGAGUAGAUGUACUGGAAAGUGUAUCUAGAAAGACAAGUUAGAGCUUGAUAAAAGCAUUUUAGUUACAUUAAAAAGUUUAUUGUGAAAUUCAAUAUAACUUGAAAUAAAAAAAUUAUUAAUAAUUUAGAUUUUUAUAAAUUUAUAAUAAGUAAAUUAUUGUUUUAGUAUUUUUAGGAGAAUAAAUUGAUUUAAUUAUAGAGAAUUAGUAAUGUGAAUGAAAUUUAUUAAUUAUUUUAAAGAAAAAUUUAAAAAACAUGUCUUUUUGUUUAUAAUUUAAAGUCUAACCUGCCCAAUGAAAAAUUUAAUGGCCGCAGUAUUUUAACUGUGCAAAGGUAGCAUAAUCAUUAGUUUUUUAAUUGAAAGCUUGUAUGAAUGGUUGAAUGAGAAAAUUACUGUCUCUAAUUUAUUUUUUUAGAAUUUUAUUUUUAAGUUAAAAAGCUUAAAUUUUAUUAAAAGACGAGAAGACCCUAUAGAGUUUUAUAAAUUUAAUAAUUAAAAUUAUUUGGUAUUUAUAAAAUAAUUUUUAAGUUUAUUUAAUUGGGGUGAUUAAAAAAUUUAAUAAACUUUUUUUUUAUUAAAACAUUUAUUUAUGAAUAUUUGAUCCUUAAUUAAAGAUUAAAAGAAAAAAUUACCUUAGGGAUAACAGCGUAAUUUUUUUUUAGAGUUCUAAUCGAAAAAAAAGGUUGCGACCUCGAUGUUGGAUUAAAAUUAAUUUUUGGUGUAGAAGCUAAAAGUGGGAGGUCUGUUCGACCUUUAAAAUUUUACUUGAUCUGAG